UCAAGAGCAGAAAUGUCUGACCACAAAGCAGAUGGACCUAGUAUUUUGCUGAAGUCCAACAACUAUUCAGUCAAUCAAUUUGCUCUCCUGAUAGUUAACUUGCCCAAGAAGGCUGUAAAAUAUUCAUUUCACUCCCUUAAAGUCAUUCACAAGAGACUGAAGGUUUAUAUGUCCUACUUCAAGAGGGAGCCUUGGCAUUUACCUACCUGAUGUGGAGAGAGAAGAGGACUUUUGGUGACUGGAUAGUAAACCUUAGGUACAUAAAAGGAAACUAUUUGUUAGGUCAACAAAAUGCAUCAUGACUAGAAAGCUCAUUAUCUGCAGGGUUUUGUUCUCUUGCUUCCAUUUUUUGUAGUUUGAGCCUCUUGUGCUGCCAUCCACUGAAUUCCCAUAAAUGGAACUGAACCAUAUUGGUACUGCCAUCAAGGACUGGCAUGGACGACCUGGAAAAUGCAAGUGGUUGAUGGGUUUUCAAUGGAUCCCAUUGCUAGGUGCUCUAAGAGGGCUCAAGGCUGCUCCUUUUCCAUUUUACCACUUUCAGGCAGUAUCACUCCCAACCAAGAAGAUCCUUUCCAGCACCACUGUGCAAAUGGAACUCUAAACACCUCUCUCCAGCCACAUAGAAACAUCCUGUAAACUCUAAGACAGCAUGGUUAGGCUCAAAGCUGUUCUGUUGGACUAUUGUGCUAAAUAAGACUGCUGCUAAUGGCCACCCACAAACAUGGCGACCAUAUAUAUAUUAGGACUAGUGCAGUGCUAAAGACAUUAACACAGAUUUCCUCAAUUACAUCUGAGCAGUCAAACAUAUGGGGUGUUCCUCUCACAGAGUCACACUAUUCACUGAAGAAAGCUGUAAGCCCUUGGGAAUAUCAAAGCAUCCUGGAUUGAAGAAAUAUCCAGGAAUU
Molecule: long non-coding RNA, 905 nt
Organism: Equus caballus (horse)
Lineage: Eukaryota; Metazoa; Chordata; Mammalia; Perissodactyla; Equidae
Source: RefSeq, a predicted model, not a curated record